UAGGGAAUCUUCGGCAAUGGGCGAAAGUCUGACCGAGCAACGCCGCGUGAGUGAAGAAGGUUUUCGGAUCGUAAAACUCUGUUGUUAGAGAAGAACAAGGGUGAGAGUAACUGUUCACCCCUUGACGGUAUCUAACCAGAAAGCCACGGCUAACUACGUGCCAA
Molecule: ribosomal RNA, 164 nt
Filed under: uncultured bacterium
Lineage: Bacteria
Description: partial 16S rRNA
Rfam family: Bacterial small subunit ribosomal RNA
Source: RNAcentral